GACAGAGGUGGCGACCGUUGUUCGGAAUCACUGGGCAUAAAGCGCGCGUAGGCGGCAUGGUAAGUCGGGUGUGAAAUCCCUCGGCCCAACCGAGGAAUUGCGCUCGAAACUACCGUGCUUGAGGACAGGAGGGGAGCCUGGAAUUCCUGGUGGAGCGGUGAAAUGCGUUGAUAUCAGGAGGAACACCGGCGGCGAAGGCGAGGCUCUGGCCUGUUUCUGACGCUGAGGCGCGAAAGCUAGGGGAGCAAAC
This 250-nucleotide ribosomal RNA is filed under the name uncultured bacterium. Its description in RNAcentral is "partial 16S ribosomal RNA". It matches the Rfam family "Bacterial small subunit ribosomal RNA", at positions 524 to 773 of the family's 1533-position model. The record is from RNAcentral.